GACGAACGCUGGCGGCGUGCUUAACACAUGCAAGUCGAACGGAAAGGCCCUGCUUUUGUGGGGUGCUCGAGUGGCGAACGGGUGAGUAACACGUGAGUAACCUGCCCUUGACUUUGGGAUAACUUCAGGAAACUGGGGCUAAUAUCGGAUAGGAGCUCCUGCUGCAUGGUGGGGGUUGGAAAGUUUCGGCGGUUGGGGAUGGACUCGAGGCUUAUCAGCUUGUUGGUGGGGUAGUGGCUUACCAAGGCUUUGACGGGUAGCCGGCCUGAGAGGGUGACCGGCCACAUUGGGCCUGAGAUACGGCCCAGACUCCUACGUGAGGCAGCGGUGGGGAAUAUUGCACAAUGGGCGGAAGCCUGAUGCAGCAACGCCGCGUGCGGGAUGUAGGCCUUCGGGUUGUAAACCGCUUUCGCCUGUGACGAAGCGUGAGUGACGGUAAUGGGUAAAGAAGCACCGGCUAACUACGUG
Molecule: ribosomal RNA, 468 nt
Filed under: uncultured bacterium
Lineage: Bacteria
Description: partial 16S ribosomal RNA
Rfam family: Bacterial small subunit ribosomal RNA
Source: RNAcentral